UAGCAUCAGUAAGCCUUCCAAGGGCUGAAACCAAGCUAUCUGUGUGCUGUUUCUGCUGGUCUCUGGCCAAUUGGGAAUUGAUGUUCUGAGCUCCAAGAUUUGUGCAUGCAUCAGCUUGAAAGACGCAGAUUGGGAAGUUCCAAUGGAUGCAUAUGAAUAUCUUGUUUUUGUAGGGUGGGGGGGUAACAAAGAGCUCUUUGCAAAAGAGCUGUUUGUUAUGAUUUACUUGGAUCAUAAAAAUAUGCUAACCAAAACUUGAUUGCAACCAAUAAAAAUGCAUGAUUUGUAGUACCA
Molecule: long non-coding RNA, 294 nt
Organism: Trifolium pratense (red clover)
Lineage: Eukaryota; Viridiplantae; Streptophyta; Magnoliopsida; Fabales; Fabaceae
Exons: 2
Source: RefSeq, a predicted model, not a curated record